GUGCCAGCAGCCGCGGUAAUACUAGCGGUCCAAGUCGCAACCACAUUUAUUGGGUCUAAACGUCCGUAGCUUGCUUGAUAAGUUUCUUGUGAAAUUCUAUGCCUCAAACAUAGAGCGUGCAAGAAAUACUAUCUAGCUAGAGAUCGGGAGACGUAAGGAGUACGUUUAAAGUAGUAGUAAAUGCUUUAAUCUUAAGCGGACUAACAAUAGCGAAGGCACCUUACGAGAACGGUUCUGACAGUCAGGGAUGAAGGCUAGGGGCGCAAAACGGAUUAGAUACCCGUGUAGUCCUAGCAGUAAACACUGUACACUAAACAUUGGGACCUCUUCGAGAGGUUUCAGUGCUGCAGGGAAGCCGAAGAGUGUACUACCUGGGAAGUAUAGCCGCAAGGCCGAAACUUAAAUGAAUUGGCGG
RNAcentral lists this ribosomal RNA (415 nucleotides) under uncultured bacterium. RNAcentral's name for it is "bacterial SSU rRNA". It matches the Rfam family "Archaeal small subunit ribosomal RNA", at positions 455 to 871 of the family's 1478-position model. The record is from RNAcentral.